ACGAAGGGGGCUAGCGUUGCUCGGAAUUACUGGGCGUAAAGCGCACGUAGGCGGGUCGAUAAGUCGGGGGUGAAAUCCUGGAGCUCAACUCCAGAACUGCCUUCGAAACUGUCGGUCUUGAGUUCGGGAGAGGUGAGUGGAACUGCGAGUGUAGAGGUGAAAUUCGUAGAUAUUCGCAAGAACACCAGUGGCGAAGGCGGCUCACUGGCCCGAUACUGACGCUGAGGUGCGAAAGCGUGGGGAGCAAACAGG
Molecule: ribosomal RNA, 252 nt
Filed under: uncultured bacterium
Lineage: Bacteria
Description: partial 16S ribosomal RNA
Rfam family: Bacterial small subunit ribosomal RNA
Source: RNAcentral